GGCGAACGCUGGCGGCGUGCUUAACACAUGCAAGUCGAGCGGUAAGGCCCUUUCGGGGGUACACGAGCGGCGAACGGGUGAGUAACACGUGGGUGACCUGCCCUCAGCUCUGGGAUAAGCCUGGGAAACCGGGUCUAAUACUGGAUAUGACUCCAUGACGCAUGUUGUGGGGUGGAAAGCCUUGUGCGGCUGAGGAUGGGCCCGCGGCCUAUCAGCUUGUUGGUGGGGUGANGGCCUACCAAGGCGACGAC
Molecule: ribosomal RNA, 251 nt
Filed under: uncultured bacterium
Lineage: Bacteria
Description: partial 16S ribosomal RNA
Rfam family: Bacterial small subunit ribosomal RNA
Source: RNAcentral